UACGGGGGGGGCAAGCGUUGUUCGGAAUUACUGGGCGUAAAGGGCUCGUAGGCGGCCAACUAAGUCGGAUGUGAAAUCCCCAGGCUUAACCUGGGAACUGCAUCCGAUACUGGAUGGCUUGAAUCCGGGAGAGGGAUGCAGAAUUCCAGGUGUAGCGGUGAAAUGCGUAGAUAUCUGGAGGAGUACCGGUGGCGAAGGCGGCAUCCUGGACCGGCAUUGACGCUGAUGAGCGAAAGCGUGGGGAGCGAACAGG
RNAcentral lists this ribosomal RNA (253 nucleotides) under uncultured bacterium. Its description in RNAcentral is "partial 16S ribosomal RNA". It matches the Rfam family "Bacterial small subunit ribosomal RNA", at positions 524 to 776 of the family's 1533-position model. The record is from RNAcentral.